This 584-nucleotide ribosomal RNA is filed under the name Bacillus subtilis. Its description in RNAcentral is "bacterial SSU rRNA". It matches the Rfam family "Bacterial small subunit ribosomal RNA", at positions 46 to 599 of the family's 1533-position model. The record is from RNAcentral. Lineage: Bacteria; Bacillati; Bacillota; Bacilli; Caryophanales; Bacillaceae.
GAAUUGCACCCACGCGAUGCUACGCGUGCGGUCGACGGACCAUGGGAGCUUGCGUCCUCGAUGUUGGCGACGGACGGAUGAGUAACACGUGGGUAACCUGCCUGUUUACUGGGAUAACUCCGGGAAACCGGUGCUAAUACCGGAUGGUUGUUUGAACCGCAUGGUUCAAACGUAAUAGGUGGCUUCGGCUACCACUUACGAAUGGACCCGCGGCGCAUUAUCUAGUUGGUGAGGUAACCGCUCACCAAGGCAACGAUGCGUACCCAAACUGAGAGGGUGACCGGCCACACUGGGACUGAGACCCGACCCAUACUCCAACGGGAGGCGGGAAUAAGUAAUCUUCGGGAAUGAACGAAUGCCUGACCGAUCACCUGCGCGUGAAUGAUGAAUGUUUUCUAAUCGCAAAUUUUUGUGGAAAAAAAAUAACACGUACCGAUCGGAUAGGGCGGUAACUUGACGGUACCUAAACACAAAGCCACUGCUAGCUACGUGCCGCCAGCCGAGGUAAUACGUAGGUGGUUCGCGUUGUCCGGAUUUAUUGAGCGUAAAGGGAUGGCAGUUUUUUUCUUAAGUCUGAUGCGAAA